This is a non-coding RNA of Salmo salar (Atlantic salmon), 3249 nucleotides long. NCBI's taxonomy places the organism in Eukaryota, Metazoa, Chordata, Actinopteri, Salmoniformes, Salmonidae. The record is from RefSeq and is a predicted model, not a curated record.
GUAAAAAUGGCCGACGAGGUAAGGGAAACAAACCCAGUUGCUGAAAAAAGCGACGUCAAAGAGGAACCCAAAGUUGUGGAAGUUCUUCCAGACAGCCACCCUGUUGGCAUUAGCAGCGAUGAAGAGGCGCCAAUAGACAAACCGGUGACAGAGAGCAAUUGGUCAACACCGAUCCUGUCGCUGGCACGGAAGGCGACCGAGACGAUCAGCAGUGGGGUCAGCUACGGUGCAGCUUUGAGAAACGCAACAUCGUCGGGAUCUGCCGCUAGCUCUCCCACCAGUCCGAAUAAACAAAACUCUACCGAGAAUAACACCAACACUAACCAAUACUUACCAGCAGUGAAGGACCAUAUGGCUGUGGAGCGCUCCAACCUGUUCAGUAUGAUGAAGCUGAGUAUUAAGGGCCUGAUCCAGUCUUCUCUAAGUCUGGGCAGAACCCUGGACUCUGACUACCCGCCUCUGCAGCAGUUCUUUGUGGUUCUGGAGCAGUGCCUCAAACACGGACUGAAAGUGAAGAAGUCAUUCAUCAAUCAAAAUAAGUCUAUCUGGGGUCCUCUGGAGCUGGUUCAGAAGCUGUGUCCUGAUUCUACUGAUAUUACCACCAGUGCCAGAGACCUGCCAGGGCUAAAGACUGGGUUGGGUCGGGCUCGGGCCUGGCUGCAUCUGGCCCUGAUGCAGAAGAAAUUGUCUGACUACCUGAAAGCCCUGCUGGACCGAAGGGACAUCCUAGGUGAGUUCUACGAUCCAGGAGCGUUGAUGAUGGAGGAGGAGGGGACAGUGAUAGGAGGGAUGCUGGUGGGGCUAAACGUCAUUGAUGCUAACCUCUGUAUCAAAGGAGAGGACCUUGACUCCCAGGUGGGGGUCAUAGACUUCUCCUUGUACCUGAAGGACCCUAUGACCACCGAGACCACUAAGGAUGAUGCUAAGUUGACGGCCAUAUUGGACCAGAAGCACUACAUCGAGGAGCUGAACAGACACCUGAGCUGCACCGUCACUGACCUGCAGGCCAAGAUGGACUCCAUAGAGAAGACCAACAGCAAGCUGAUUGAGGAGUUGACGGCAGCAACAGACAGGAUUAACUCUUUACGGGAGGAACAGGAAACACUGAGACAUGAGAAUGAGACCAUCGUCCAGAGCAGCCAGAAGAAAGAGGAGGCGACUCUGGAGGACAGUGCAGUAGAGCUGGAGACAUACAGACAGACACGACAGGGCCUGGAUGAGAUGUACAGUGUGGUGUGGAAACAGUACCAGGAGGAGAAGCGCAUCAGACAGGAGUUGGAGAGGGAGCUGGAGCUGCAGGUGGGAUUAAAGCAGGAGAUGGAGAUGGCCAUGAGGCUGCUGGAGAAAGACACACGUGAGAAACAGGAAACACUGCAAGCCCUCCGACAACAACUAGACCAGGUCAAAACCCUCAACCUGCAGAUGUUCCACAAGACACAGGACUGUGAGCGCGAGGCCCAGAGGAAGGAGGAGGAGGAGGGACAACUGGAGGAGAAGAUGAACCAGAUGGAGACCACCAUUAAGGAGAUGGAACAGAGACUGCAGAACUCUGAGCGUGAUCGUAGACAGAGUGACCAGACAGAGAGAGACAUGAGGACCGAGCUGGAGGGCAGAGUAGACUCCCUACAGAAACAGCUGUCUGACCUGGACACACUGAGGUACGUAUGGACAGACACACACACCCACACACACACACGUUGUGACCCACUCCCCUGUCUCCCUAGGCUGGGUCUGGAGAGUGAUCUGCGCAGUGAGAAGGAGCAGAGACAGGCCAUUCAGAGAGCUUUACAGAGAGAACAGGACAACAGCACUGAGCUACGCACCCAACUACAGCAGAUACAGGGGCUACACACGGAGCUGCAGGAUGUUCGUCGGGAGAAGAAGCAGCUCCAGCAGACCUGUCAGGAUCAGGAGACGGCCUUACAGGAGAUGGGUCUACACCUCAGCCAGUGAGUACUGUACUAGACGGCCUUACAGGAGAUGGGUCUACACCUCAGCCAGUGAGUACUGUACUAGACGGCCUUACAGGAGAUGGGUCUACACCUCAGCCAGUGAGUACUGUACUAGACAGCCUUACAGGAGAUGGGUCUACACCUCAGCCAGUGAGUACUGUACUAGACGGCCUUACAGGAGAUGGGUCUACACCUCAGCCAGUGAGUACUGUACUAGACGGCCUUACAGGAGAUGGGUCUACACCUCAGCCAGUGAGUACUGUACUAGACAGCCUUACAGGAGAUGGGUCUACACCUCAGCCAGUGAGUACUGUACUAGACGGCCUUACAGGAGAUGGGUCUACACCUCAGCCAGUGAGUACUGUACUAGACAGCCUUACAGGAGAUGGGUCUACACCUCAGCCAGUGAGUACUGUACUAGACGGCCUUACAGGAGAUGGGUCUACACCUCAGCCAGUGAGUACUGUACUAGACAGCCUUACAGGAGAUGGGUCUACACCUCAGCCAGUGAGUACUGUACUAGACAGCCUUACAGGAGAUGGGUCUACACCUCAGCCAGUGAGUACUGUACUAGACAGCCUUACAGGUGAUGGGCCUACACCUCAGCCAGUGAGUACUGUACUAGACAGCCUUACAGGAGAUGGGUCUACACCUCAGCCAGUGAGUACUGUACUAGACAGCCUUACAGGAGAUGGGUCUACACCUCAGCCAGUGAGUACUGUACUAGACAGCCUUACAGGAGAUGGGUCUACACCUCAGCCAGUGAGUACUGUACUAGACGGCCUUACAGGAGAUGGGUCUACACCUCAGCCAGUGAGUACUGUACUAGACGGCCUUACAGGAGAUGGGUCUACACCUCAGCCAGUGAGUACUGUACUAGACAGCCUUACAGGAGAUGGGUCUACACCUCAGCCAGUGAGUACUGUACUAGACAGCCUUACAGGAGAUGGGUCUACACCUCAGCCAGUGAGUACUGUACUAGACAGCCUUACAGGAGAUGGGUCUACACCUCAGCCAGUGAGUACUGUACUAGACGGCCUUACAGGAGAUGGGUCUACACCUCAGCCAGUGAGUACUGUACUAGACAGCCUUACAGGAGAUGGGUCUACACCUCAGCCAGUGAGUACUGUACUAGACAGCCUUACAGGAGAUGGGUCUACACCUCAGCCAGUCUAAACUGAAGAUGGAGGACUUCAAAGAGGUCAACAAAGCCCUGAAGGGCCAAGCCUGGCUGAAAGACGAUGAGGCUACACAGUGUAAACACUGUCAGAAGGAGUUCUCUAUCGCUCGCAGAAAG